UGGGGAAUAUUGGACAAUGGGCGAAAGCCUGAUCCAGCAAUGCCGCGUGUGUGAAGAAGGUCUUCGGAUUGUAAAGCACUUUCGACGGGGACGAUGAUGACGGUACCCGUAGAAGAAGCCCCGGCUAACUUCGUGCCAGCAGCCGCGGUAAUACGAAGGGGGCUAGCGUUGCUCGGAAUGACUGGGCGUAAAGGGCGCGUAGGCGGUUUAGACAGUCAGAUGUGAAAUUCCCGGGCUUAACCUGGGGGCUGCAUUUGAUACGUCUAGGCUUGAGUGAGGAAGAGGGUUGUGGAAUUCCCAGUGUAGAGGUGAAAUUCGUAGAUAUUGGGAAGAACACCGGUGGCGAAGGCGGCAACCUGGUCCUUUACUGACGCUGAGGCGCGAAAGCGUGGGGAGCAAACAGGAUUAGAUACCCCCGUAGUCC
This 424-nucleotide ribosomal RNA is filed under the name uncultured bacterium. RNAcentral describes it as "bacterial SSU rRNA". It matches the Rfam family "Bacterial small subunit ribosomal RNA", at positions 355 to 796 of the family's 1533-position model. The record is from RNAcentral.